GAGCAGGUGCGAAAGCAGGUCAUAGUGAUCCGGUGGUUCUGAAUGGAAGGGCCAUCGCUCAACGGAUAAAAGGUACUCCGGGGAUAACAGGCUGAUACCGCCCAAGAGUUCAUAUCGACGGCGGUGUUUGGCACCUCGAUGUCGGCUCAUCACAUCCUGGGGCUGAAGUAGGUCCCAAGGGUAUGGCUGUUCGCCAUUUAAAGUGGUACGCGAGCUGGGUUUAGAACGUCGUGAGACAGUUCGGUCCCUAUCUGCCGUGGGCGCUGGAGAACUGAGGGGGGCUGCUCCUAGUACGAGAGGACCGGAGUGGACGCAUCACUGGUGUUCGGGUUGUCAUGCCAAUGGCACUGCCCGGUAGCUAAAUGCGGAAGAGAUAAGUGCUGAAAGCAUCUAAGCACGAAACUUGCCCCGAGAUGAGUUCUCCCUGACUCCUUGAGAGUCCUGAAGGAACGUUGAAGACGACGACGUUGAUAGGCCGGGUGUGUAAGCGCAGCGAUGCGUUGAGCUAACCGGUACUAAUGAACCGUGAGGCUUAACCUUACAACGCCGAAGGUGUUU
This 558-nucleotide ribosomal RNA is filed under the name Escherichia coli. Its description in RNAcentral is "partial 23S ribosomal RNA". It matches the Rfam family "Bacterial large subunit ribosomal RNA", at positions 2391 to 2925 of the family's 2925-position model. The record is from RNAcentral. Lineage: Bacteria; Pseudomonadati; Pseudomonadota; Gammaproteobacteria; Enterobacterales; Enterobacteriaceae.